AAGCUACCAGGUCGUAUCAACAUUCCUUUAAUUUUAUUAUGGUUUGCUGUGUAGCUGGGCCAGCUGUUUCAGACCAGUAAUGAAUUACAGUGAAGUGGGCGAGGUGCUGUUUUGUUUUUCUGCCCAGCUGGAAUUGAUGAAGUGAUCCGUUUGCAUCGAUCCUCACUGGGAAGGAGUUUAAAAUUCAGGUUUUAUGAAAUUGGACCUGAGACCAAAUAAUUGGAAGAAAAUGCUUUAGAAUCUGCAGCCUAUAAUUAAACAUUUCCAAGAGCCAGCGAGAUACAGCGAGCUCAGCAGAAGGAGGCAUUUUGCUGGGAACACUUCCCGUCUUUGCUUUGUUUCACGCUGUGUGCUAUUAAAGCAAACAACUUCACAAGCUUCAGAAGCGUUCGGCAGCUCUUGAGCAAGAAUAGCAUCUAACAUUACAGCUAAGCUGGAAACAAUGAGGACCAUCAGUCGUCUUUUUUUUUUUUUUUUUUAAGCACGUAAACUAGGUAGCUUAGCUCAUGGAGAAAUCCCCAUUACUCUAUUUUAGGUAUUCUAGAAAUUGCAGGAUGGGAGUUUUCAUCUUCUGAAGGAUCCAGCAGUAACCACUAGAAAGGAAAGAUCUUCAUUUAGAGCAGUGCCCAGAUCUGCUGGUGCAAUUCAUACUUACCUGUGCAAGCCAGGCUCUCCUCUUUUCAAUUGUAUAAAUCCUAACCACCGGUCCUUCUAAGUUUAUCGAAUAUGUCUUGUCUGAUUAAAAAAAUGAGUUUGAGACGCGAUAGAAACGUCUCCCUUGUGCCACAUAGGAUCAGCUAGACUCCUGAUUAAAUGUCUCGCUAUGUAGAGGUGGGAGCCGUGGCUGUGUCGCUCUGACUGCCUUUGCAGGGGAGCGGUGACAGCUUUGAACUGGAGGCAACGUGCGGAGUCGUGCUGCAAAAAAGUUGUCAUCACUAAAGGGGAAGGCUGGUUCUGGGUAGGAAAAUAGGAAGACUGAGGCUUUUGGCACCCUCACAAAGUCAAAUUCAGUUUCUCUGCUCUUUUACCGGAGCCCACCAGGAGUUGUGUUUGGUGAACUUCAAAUUUUGAAGGAGACAUCCACCAUACACCCUACUUUUGUCUUUUGCUUCAUCUCUACAGCCAAGAACCUGUUCUGUGAGUAGCGAGAAGUUUGGGGUGCAAUCUAUUAUUUUUUCUGGCCAGCAUUGAGCUACAAGCCCUGCGUGUCUCUGCAAAUCGGAGUGAGCUGCACCAGAGCCAGGCACGUUUGUGUGCUGCCCAUCACACGGCCUUGCUGCUGCAGAUCUGCAGCCCUGAGCUCUCCCGGUGCGACUGCGCGAUGCUGCUGCCUGCGUGGCUGCGGCGGCUGCAGCAGCCCAGGGCUCCGGCUCCGUCGCCUCACAAAUGACUUGCCAAGAGGCUGUGCGUUGUUUUGAGGGUACCUUAGCUGCACGCUUGUUUUUUUUCAACAGCAGCCAAUGUUAGGAAUGAGAGAGAAAAUGAAAAUGUUUUCCCUGUGCUUUUAAUUCGUAGCUCCUGUCCGGAGCAAAGUCAUGGAAACCAGUUGAAGAACUGGUGACCAACUUUUUGUCCUUUGCUUGAACCCCAAAGCUCAUGCAAAUUCAUUACCGAAGACAAAGAUUAAGAGGUGAAUGGAGAGCCUAUAGUGUUUAGUAGAAAAUAUAUGCAACAUGGAAAUUGGAUGUAAACCUCUUGCUGUUCCUUUGCGAAUCUAUUAUACAUGAGCCCAUCAGAGCAGCAUAUUAAUAAAACAGGAGGCUAAAGCACUUGGCACUCCCAUCUCUUUAGCAAAACAUCAGAGGCGAGGCUACCAGCUUCGGUCUGUGGAGUCUGGAACUUGCACCUGCCCAGCUGCUCCGAUGCUCCGGUCAGGAUGCUCCGAUGGACAUCUCGCCACUGAAGGGAAAUCUCUCCAUGGUGCAGGGGUCUUUUAUUCAAGUAAAAUUCUCCUCCUCCGGCACAAAACCAUUGUUCUUUCCUGCUCAGCCUUCUUGCCUGCUGAAUUCUUAAAGCAAUACACAACGAAGGCCAAAGAUGACUUAAAGCAACCUCAGAUAUCGUGUGCUAAGAUGCAAAUUGCAUCUGUUCCUCGAAAGCUCUCCCCACCAGGGCCACUCUGUCCCAGUCUUUUGUUAUGCAUGGGUACCACCAACCACAACCACAAGUCCCUUUGCUUUGCCGAGUAGUGAGAAGUAAGUUACGCUGAAUUUUCUAAACAUCUACGUUUUGCUUCUCCGUCAGGACAAAGAGAGGUGGCUCUUCGGACCUCCCCUGUAAUCCCACUCGUGUUGCCAAGGUCCCUUGUGCAGACACUAAUACCUCUUGCACUUCUGGGUGAGCAGAGGCAGCAAGGGAACACUGCUGCUAGAUAACACGGGCUUCCUGCAAAGUCCAGCCUUAGUGCAAAAUGGGAGUAGCUGUAGUACAGUGUGAGUUGGGACCUGCGCGGCUGUAAACACGGAUGAAAGUGGAAGGGUUGUGUCUGAUACCUGCUCUGGGGCCAUAAAGCCUCAAUUUUUGAUCCCGGCUGCUGGUGGUGGUGGCACCUGCCUCCCGUGUGUGUGCUGCUUUACUGGGAGAGGGAAGGAGUUGUCCUCGGGCAGCUGCAGGACUCUCUUACCUCCAGUAAGUCCUACCCUGAGCUGAAGUCUGGACAGCUCGAGCGUAUUGCUACAGAGGAGAGAGCUCUGCAAGACAACUAAUUCAUCUCAGACUUGGCAAGUCUUCUCUCCGAGCUGGGUUGGGUUGGAAGCUGCGUUGCCAUUCAUUCCCGGAGGACGCCAGAGAUGCGCAGUCAGAGGAGGGUGUUAGGAUUCAGCUGAAUGAAGUUGUCGUGCAACUAAUCUUCAGUACAGCCUUGAUUGACUGGUGUGCCGUUACACAGAAAUAAACUGGUAGUGACCCAAG
Harpia harpyja (harpy eagle) is the source of this 2910-nucleotide long non-coding RNA. RefSeq lists it as uncharacterized. The record is from RefSeq and is a predicted model, not a curated record. NCBI's taxonomy places the organism in Eukaryota, Metazoa, Chordata, Aves, Accipitriformes, Accipitridae. The transcript is spliced from 2 exons.